This 98-nucleotide non-coding RNA is filed under the name unclassified sequences. The record is from Rfam.
AAUUGCUGAGGAUAGAAAGAUGGCUAUCGCGCACGAAAGUGUCAAGUGUAGGGUUAUAAACUCGAUGAGAUGUGGGAACAAUUGCCCCACCAGUUAAU